AACGGACGCUGACGGCGUGCUUAACACAUGCAAGUCGCACGAGAAAGUCCUUCGGGAUGAGUAGAGUGGCGCACGGGUGAGUAACACGUAGGUGACCUUCCAGUUUGAGUGGGAUAACCCGGAGAAAUUCGGGCUAAUACCGCAUAAGAACAACAAAGUUGGAAAUAGUUGUUGAAAUGAAUGCGUCUACUUGUAAGCAUUCGCUGACUGAUGGGCCUGCGGUACAUUAGCUAGUUGGUGGGGUAAUGGCCUACCAAGGCUUCGAUGUAUAGCGGAUCUGAGAGGAUGAUCCGCCACACUGGAACUGAGACACGGUCCAGACUCCUACGGGAGGCAGCAGUGGGGAAUCUUGCGCAAUGGGCGAAAGCCUGACGCAGCAACGCCGUGUGAGUGAGGAAGGCCUUCGGGUUGUAAAGCUCUGUCAGAUGGGAAAAACGGCGGUUAUUCGAAUAGGGUAAUCGAUUGAUGGUACCAUCAGAGGAAGCACCGGCAAACUUCGUGCCAGCAGCCGCGGUAA
This 517-nucleotide ribosomal RNA is filed under the name uncultured bacterium. RNAcentral describes it as "partial 16S ribosomal RNA". It matches the Rfam family "Bacterial small subunit ribosomal RNA", at positions 29 to 523 of the family's 1533-position model. The record is from RNAcentral.